CCUACGGGGGGCUGCAGUGGGGAAUAUUGCGCAAUGGGCGAAAGCCUGAUGCAGCGACGCCGCGUGAGUGAUGAAGGUCUUCGGAUCGUAAACCUCUGUCAGCAGGGAAGAACGGUCACUGUGCUAAUCAGCAGUGAAUUGACGGUACCUGCAAAGGAAGCACCGGCUAACUCCGUGCCAGCAGCCGCGGUAAUACGGAGGGUGCGAGCGUUAAUCGGAAUUACUGGGCGUAAAGCGCUCGUAGGCGGUAUGUCAAGUCAAGGGUGAAAUCCUCGGGCUCAACGUGGGAACUGCCUUUGAAACUGGGAAACUGGAGUGUGUGAGAGGAUAGUGGAAUUCCAGGUGUAGGAGUGAAAGCCGUAGAUAUCUGGAGGAACAUCAGUGGCGAAGGCGACUAUCUGGCACAUAACUGACGCUGAGGAGCGAAAGCGUGGGUAGCAAACAGGAUUAGAUACCCCUGUAGUC
RNAcentral lists this ribosomal RNA (465 nucleotides) under uncultured bacterium. RNAcentral describes it as "partial 16S ribosomal RNA". It matches the Rfam family "Bacterial small subunit ribosomal RNA", at positions 338 to 795 of the family's 1533-position model. The record is from RNAcentral.